Small nuclear RNA from Lynx canadensis (Canada lynx), 104 nucleotides. Lineage: Eukaryota; Metazoa; Chordata; Mammalia; Carnivora; Felidae. The record is from Ensembl.
GUGCUUUCAGCAGUACAUAUACAAAAAUUGGGACAGUACAGAGAAGUUUAGCAUGGUCCCUGCUCAAGGAUGACACACAAAUUCAUGAAGCGUUCCAUAUUUUU